AUCGAACGCUGGCGGCAGGCUUAACACAUGCAAGUCGAGCGGAGUGAUGGUGCUUGCACUAUCACUUAGCGGCGGACGGGUGAGUAAUGCUUAGGAAUCUGCCUAUUAGUGGGGGACAACAUCUCGAAAGGGAUGCUAAUACCGCAUACGUCCUACGGGAGAAAGCAGGGGAUCACUUGUGACCUUGCGCUAAUAGAUGAGCCUAAGUCGGAUUAGCUAGUUGGUGGGGUAAAGGCCUACCAAGGCGACGAUCUGUAGCGGGUCUAAGAGGAUGAUCCGCCACACUGGGACUGAGACACGGCCCAGACUCCUACGGGAGGCAGCAGUGGGGAAUAUUGGACAAUGGGCGGAAGCCUGAUCCAGCCAUGCCGCGUGUGUGAAGAAGGCCUUAUGGUUGUAAAGCACUUUAAGCGAGGAGGAGGCUACUUUAGUUAAUACCUAGAGAUAGUGGACGUUACUCGCAGAAUAAGCACCGGCUAACUCUGUGCCAGCAGCCGCCGUAA
RNAcentral lists this ribosomal RNA (503 nucleotides) under uncultured bacterium. Its description in RNAcentral is "partial 16S ribosomal RNA". It matches the Rfam family "Bacterial small subunit ribosomal RNA", at positions 30 to 523 of the family's 1533-position model. The record is from RNAcentral.